Molecule: ribosomal RNA, 253 nt
Filed under: uncultured bacterium
Lineage: Bacteria
Description: partial 16S ribosomal RNA
Rfam family: Bacterial small subunit ribosomal RNA
Source: RNAcentral
UACGUAGGUGGCGAGCGUUGUCCGGAUUUACUGGGCGUAAAGAGCGCGCAGGCGGUCGUUCAAGUCGCGUGUGAAAGCCCCCGGCUCAACUGGGGAGGGUCACGCGAUACUGAUCGACUCGAAGGCAGGAGAGGGAAGUGGAAUUCCCGGUGUAGUGGUGAAAUGCGUAGAUAUCGGGAGGAACACCAGUGGCGAAGGCGACUUCCUGGCCUGUUCUUGACGCUGAGGCGCGAAAGCGUGGGGAGCAAACGGG